UGGAGGCCAGAUGGAGACCAGGUGCUUUACCUUAAUGUGAGUGACAGCACAGUUCUGCUCAGUGAAUGCUCAGUGAGGAAUGACUGCCGGCUUGCCUCGCGUACACAACUGAUGGGCUUUGUAAGUUAUCCUUGCACUGAAUUUGUUUCAUCUGAAAAGACCCGAAGCAACAAGACCAAUGCCAUUCACCAAUAAAGGGAACCAGGUCUCCAUGGAAAAUGGCUGAUUCUAGGACCGAGACAGCUAAUACACAUCAUGGCCUAGAGAAUCUUGUAGUGCCAGCAAGCAAGGAAGUGCUAAGACAACAACAAUAAAAACCUCCAACUAUAGGGAGAUCUUUCUGGCCACCGUGCGGUGAAUGAGCAGUGGUGGGGCAGGCACCGAGGCUGACAGAGCACUUAGGAACCAUUGCGGUGGCCCAGGUAAGACGUGAUGGUUGGUUGAACUAAGAUGCUGGCUGCGGUCUUGGAGAGAAGUGAACAGAU
Long non-coding RNA from Prionailurus viverrinus (fishing cat), 485 nucleotides. RefSeq lists it as uncharacterized. The transcript is spliced from 3 exons. Lineage: Eukaryota; Metazoa; Chordata; Mammalia; Carnivora; Felidae. The record is from RefSeq and is a predicted model, not a curated record.